GACGAACGCUGGCGGCGUGCUUAACACAUGCAAGUCGAGCGGAGCGGCGGACGGGUGCGUACCGCGUGAGUAACUGCCCCCCUCUCUGGGAUAACAGUUGGAAACGGCUGCUCAUACCGGAUAGUGGGGGAUGACUCGCGUACUAUCAGCUUGUUGGGGGGGUGGGGGCCUACCAAGGCGACGACGGGUAGCCGGCCUGAGAGGGCGACCGGCCACAUUGGGCUGAGAUACUGCCCAAUCUCCUACGGGAGGCAGCAGUGGGGAAUAUUGCACACGGGGGGAAACCCUGAUGCAGCAACGCCGCGUGCGGGAUGACGGCCUUCGGGUUGUAAACCGCUUUCAGCCAUGACGCGGUAGUGGCAGAAGAAGCACCGGCUAACUACGUGCCAGCAGCCGCGGUAAUUC
This 405-nucleotide ribosomal RNA is filed under the name uncultured bacterium. RNAcentral's name for it is "partial 16S ribosomal RNA". It matches the Rfam family "Bacterial small subunit ribosomal RNA", at positions 28 to 526 of the family's 1533-position model. The record is from RNAcentral.